This 468-nucleotide ribosomal RNA is filed under the name uncultured bacterium. Its description in RNAcentral is "partial 16S ribosomal RNA". It matches the Rfam family "Bacterial small subunit ribosomal RNA", at positions 28 to 507 of the family's 1533-position model. The record is from RNAcentral.
GACGAACGCUGGCGGCGUGCUUAACACAUGCAAGUCGAACGGAAAGGCCCUGCUUUUGUGGGGUGCUCGAGUGGCGAACGGGUGAGUAACACGUGAGUAACCUGCCCUUGACUUUGGGAUAACUUCAGGAAACUGGGGCUAAUACCGGAUAGGAGCUCCUGCUGCAUGGUGGGGGUUGGAAAGUUUCGGCGGUUGGGGAUGGACUGGCGGCUUAUCAGCUUGUUGGGGGGGUAGUGGCCUACCAAGGCUUUGACGGGUAGCCGGCCUGAGAGGGUGACCGGCCACAUUGGGACUGAGAUACGGCCCAGACUCCUACGGGAGGCAGCAGUGGGGAAUAUUGCACAAUGGGCGGAAGCCUGAUGCAGCAACGCCGCGUGCGGGAUGACGGCCUUCGGGUUGUAAACCGCUUUCGCCUGUGACGAAGCGUGAGUGGCGGUAAUGGGUAAAGAAGCACCGGCUAACUACGUG